GCCCCCGUAGCUCAGGGGAUAGAGCACCGGCCUCCGGAGCCGGGUGCGCAGGUUCGAAUCCUGCCGGGGGCACCA
This 75-nucleotide transfer RNA is filed under the name Acidimicrobium ferrooxidans DSM 10331. RNAcentral describes it as "tRNA-Arg (CCG) (tRNA-Arg-CCG-1-1)". It matches the Rfam family "tRNA". Rfam says of the family: Transfer RNA (tRNA) molecules are approximately 80 nucleotides in length. RNAcentral also lists the same sequence under 1 other name. Lineage: Bacteria; Bacillati; Actinomycetota; Acidimicrobiia; Acidimicrobiales; Acidimicrobiaceae. The record is from RNAcentral.